Molecule: non-coding RNA, 123 nt
Organism: Cajanus cajan (pigeon pea)
Lineage: Eukaryota; Viridiplantae; Streptophyta; Magnoliopsida; Fabales; Fabaceae
Source: Rfam
GUGUUCGUGAAAAGGAGAGAUGGUUGGCAUCUCCCCUAACAGGGACGGAAACAGCCUUCGGGCUUUCCUAUACACAUCCUGUUAAGGCUUCCCACUUCGGUGGAUCUAUAACCCAAUUUUUUU